GUCGAACGCGCAGCAUUCUGUAGCAAUACAGGGUGUGGGCGCGUGGCGAACGGGUGCGUAACACGUGGAUAACCUUCCUUCAGGUGGGGAAUAACCCAGUGAAAAUUGGGCUAAUACCGCAUAACAUGACGAUACCACAUGGUGUUGUCUUCAAAGCCGCAAGGCGCCAGAAGAGGGAUCCGCGCCCGGUUAGCUUGUUGGCGAGGUAAUGGCUCACCAAGGCUUUGAUCGGUAGCCGGACUGAGAGGUUGGCCGGCCACACUGGAACUGAGACACGGUCCAGACUCCUACGGGGGGCAGCAGUGGGGAAUCUUGCACAAUGGACGAAAGUCUGAUGCAGCAACGCCGCGUGGGGGAUGAAGCUUUUCGGAGUGUAAACCCCUUUCGACCCGGAAGAAUGCCCGCAAGGGUUUGACGGUACGGGUAUAAGAAGCCCCGGCUAACUACGUGCCAGCAGCCGCGGUAAUACGUAGGGGGCCAGCGUUGCUCGGAAUUACUGGGCGUAAAGGGUCCGUAGGCGGUGUGGCAAGUCGGGAGUG
Molecule: ribosomal RNA, 539 nt
Filed under: uncultured Acidobacteriota bacterium
Lineage: Bacteria; Pseudomonadati; Acidobacteriota
Description: bacterial SSU rRNA
Rfam family: Bacterial small subunit ribosomal RNA
Source: RNAcentral